UAAAUGAUUCUGUUGGAACCAUCUGC
Molecule: non-coding RNA, 26 nt
Filed under: Rattus norvegicus (Norway rat)
Lineage: Eukaryota; Metazoa; Chordata; Mammalia; Rodentia; Muridae
Source: RNAcentral